UCCAUCAUCAUCUGUCAACGAAGAAUGAGUAAGUAGUAGUAACAUUAAUCCAUGAUGGUGACGUGAUUUGUGGUCCUGGUAAUAAAAUUAAAUUCAAUGGUUGGGGAUGCAUCAUCCCAGCAGAGAGACUUGUACGUCACCAUCUACACUUAUUCCUACCCUAACUAAACUAUACUAAGGGAGCGACCUUGCUUCCAACAGGAUCACGAGGAACUGACAGAAACUGAACCACCAUCGGACCGGUGCAUAUCAUGUAGUACAUCUACACCACCUAAGGGGGAGAGACUAGUAAAGCUAUAUGGUACAUAUGAUCAUGGCCUGUGCAUGUGCGAUAGAUAGGCCAGGCACAUGUGAGGGUGUGAUGUGGAGGAGGAGCAUAUCUUAAAUGUGUUGUCCACUUUUGGACGACCCUAUUCUUGAAUUCCCUCUCGACUUAUUACUCCCGUCCUGCAUUAGGCAGUACAAUAAAAUUGACGUUAGUAUAUGCUACCUCUGAUCAUAUCAUAUGCUCCUCCCAGUCAUCCUAAACGAACGGAGUGAUGAUGGACCAAAACAAAAAAGGCAUUAGUAGCAGCAGUGGUAGUUGGCAUUCAGCACUAGCAACACCACCACCUAAAACCAGUUCAACAUCACCCACCUUCACUUCUGAAUUCUUCCAACUGCAUGCAUGGUAAAGCUGAAAACAAAUUAUUAAGGUGGUGAACUAUAUGUAUAUGUAUACAUAUACUUUCUGGUGCAAGUUGAAUGACCGGACAAUGUUCAUUUAUCUUUCCAUCCACACACUUGUACAGUCCUGAGCCAUAGGGAGACAAACUGGGAAUACCCAAACUACAAUGAGACCGCCACUGUUGCAGUUGAUGCACUACAAAAAGCUGUUGAAUUGGACCCUACUCUCAUGCAUCUCAUCAAUCCUUUCCUUUGUUAUCAAAUCCAAGCAUGUAAAACUGAAAUUAAUGCCAAGACUUUAAAUCCAAGUAGGUAGACUUUUCGCCCAACAAGCCUUGCAUCCACCGCACACCAGCUCAAACUAUUAAGGAAAAUAAUCAGCACCCCGUCCAAAUAUUAAAAAAAAAAAAAAAAAAAAAAAAAAGAUUCUCAUCCCCUUGAAUGUUUUCCACGUCUAUGCUUUUAGAUAAAUCCUUCCAUGAAUACUAGGCCAAUCAUACAAGAGAAACAGACACAGACACAUAUAAUUAUUAUUAUUAUUCCAGGCCAAUUAGAUACAGCACAUGCUGAUGAGUGACUUAUAAAGUCUUAAACAGGAAACAAAAGUGCAACCAGCAGAAAAGAACAUGCGGUAAUCCAAAGACAUACACAAAUAUAUACCCUUUAUGUUCGUGGAUCAUUCUCAAUGAAGGCAACGUAAAAAUUAUAAGCAAAGAGCGGUAAAAUGAUUUACAGAACACCUAAAAAGCAGCCCCAAAUGCAAAUACAACUAAUCCACGAAAGCAUGAUUUCAAAAAAAAAAAAAAAAAGGGAGGAAGAGUGUUAAUUAAUUCUAAUGAUGUGAACCUUUCAAACGCUUCAUCACGUCCAGUAGACUGGUAUUACAUGACUUCUCAAUAAAUAGCACCACAUUCGAGUCCAUGAUACAUGCAUCGCAGUCUGGAUAUGGAUCAGCUCUGUUUCCCAGUCCAGUCACUUGUCCUACCAUAGGCACAGGUCAAAUUACUUAAUGGCUUGCACACUUGCAGUACGCAAAUGAAGCUGAGUAUAGAAGGUAAAUACAAUGGGCAUAGAAUCAAUGCCAUCUUAGAAACACUCAACAAGAGGAUUGCACUCAACACCUUCACAUCAUCCUCAACCAUCAAUCCAAAGUUAGAUGCAUAAAUUUACUGAGAAAUGAAUAAUUU
RNAcentral lists this long non-coding RNA (1853 nucleotides) under Coffea arabica (coffee). RNAcentral's name for it is "long non-coding RNA (CARA_LNC006146)". The record is from RNAcentral. Lineage: Eukaryota; Viridiplantae; Streptophyta; Magnoliopsida; Gentianales; Rubiaceae.